Molecule: long non-coding RNA, 1839 nt
Organism: Trichosurus vulpecula (common brushtail)
Lineage: Eukaryota; Metazoa; Chordata; Mammalia; Diprotodontia; Phalangeridae
Exons: 3
Source: RefSeq, a predicted model, not a curated record
GGAGUAGGUUUCAUCAUAUGCCCCCAACGCAACAAGAAACAUAAUUUCAUGUGACAUUUGGCCAUCUCUUAUUCAUGAUAAAUAUUUGCAAAAAGAUCACAUAUGCAACUUAUGCUCCAACAUGGAUAUCAUAAAAUGAAGAGACAGAGAAAAUUUAUGAAGAACUGGAUAAGAUUCGUUGAUUCUUUGGUACUUAAUAACUUCAAUGCAAAGAUUAGAAUAAGAAUCCUCAGGUCAGAGCUGAUAGUGUUCAAACUCCCAUGAGGCUGCAGCUGCCUGGAUCUAGGAAUCAUACCAGAACACUACGCAUGUGGCAAAGAAAAGGGAGCUUGCAGCACGAAUUUGUCAGGACCCCAAGCUUGGCAGCAGCAUCGGGGUGAUGUCAGAGACAUCAGUGGAAACUUCUGUGACUAGAAGUAGAAUCUUCAAACUCCAGGUUUCAACUGAUGAUCAACCAGGAAGUGGUUGUUGCUAUGAAUUGUGGUGGAAGUGGAGGAGGAAAGAAAUCACCAUCCCCCGCAUGGUUGACUAAAUGUGACUUGCUGGAAGACAUGGAGAGAUACCACUAGAAUCUGGUCCAUUGCUCUCUAUAGGUGACUUUGAUUCCUUGCUAAAAGGGAGCAAGAGAAAGGUCCAAGAGAUUGGCUGCUCUGUUCUUUUCUAAGAAGGAGUACUGGACUAGAAUUUUAUCUUUCUGAUUCCCUAAAUAAUGCUGGUCUAGGGGCAUGAUUUUUUUUUUAAGGCUAAGCCACUUCCCUGGUUACAAUCUCUUAAAAGAGAAGAGUAUUCUCAAACUUAGACACACCAAAUGCUAGUAUUCGCAAAUAGUGAAUACUGAGUAAACACAUUUAUCCAAGCAGAUAGCACACAGAAACUGGAAAUAUUCUACAGAGUCAAAAAUACAUGAGUGAAAGAGCUCUAUAUAUGAAUGUGAGCUGAAAUCUUAUUCAACCAAGAGAAAUCUCGAUCUUAUCCAAGGCAAAAUUCACCAGUCUCUAGGAGGACAUGCAUGACUGCCACUUCCCAAAGAUUUUUCUCUCUCCCCUAGGUCUCUUCCCAGAGACUGGAACUACAAAUGUGUCUUGCUUGAAGAAGGAAUCAAGAAUGUCUCUCUUCUACAAAGUUCUCACCAGCUCUGCCCCUCAUAUAGAAAUGAAUCAGCCUCUCCAACAGUUAAGAGAUGCUUAUGCAAAAUACUCCAAACUUGAAACCUGGGUUAGAUAUAAAUACAUAAAUAAAAGUGGCUUUGAUAGAUCUGAUCCUAAACACAACGUGAGGCUUGUUUCUUCAACAAUUUUGGUGCUGCGUUCCUGACUAAUUCUCAGCUGAAAUUGGCAAUGAGAUUGCUCUCAAAUCAAUCAUAGCAUACCACUUAAUAGGUAAGAGGCCUUCUGAAACUUUAUAGGGAUGUCAGUGAAGAAACUGUCUUUACCUGCCAGAUUCUCACUCCAAUUUACACAAAGCUGACCUUUAAAAUUUACAGUGUUAGCAAAUGUAUAUCCUUGAGCAAGUUGAGAGCUGAUCUUACUGGAAAAGCUGGAAAUUAUUGGAAUGAAUCCUUUCUUUCUUCCUUUUUUUUUUUAAAUAAACCAAAUCCUAUGUGAAUUGAAUUUCAGAAAGAAUAGUUUCAGAGUGUUUUUCUCCUGAGUGUGAAUUGAGUUCUCCUUUUCAGUGUGUAUUGCCCAAAUUGUCAUGCCUGCGUGAAUCAUAGCCGCUACCUUGCCCUUUUUACCCUUCCGUGUCCUAUAUAAAAAUUGAGAAAGAGCUAAAAGAUCAAAAGUUUCAUCAAGCCCUAGGAAGAAGAGACACCUGCAUUUCAUGUACAUCUACACUAUGAUC